CCUACGUGAGGCAGCAGUGAGGAAUAUUGGUCAAUGGGCGCGAGCCUGAACCAGCCAAGUCGCGUGAGGGAGGACGGCCCUACGGGUUGUAAACCUCUUUUGCCGGGGAGCAACGGGCGUCACGGGUGGCGCCACUGAGAGUACCCGGAGCAAACGCAUCGGCUAACUCCGUGCCAGCAGCCGCGGUAAUACGGAGGAUGCGAGCGUUAUCCGGAUUUUUUGGGUUUACAGGGUGCGUAGGCGGAUCGUUAAGUCAGUGGUCAAAUUGAGGGGCUCAACCCCUUCCCGCCAUUGAAACUGGCGCUCUUGAGUGGAAGAGAAGUGUGCGGAAUGCGUGGUGUAGCGGUGAAAUGCAUAGAUAUCACGCAGAACCCCGAUUGCGAAGGCAGCAUGCCGGCUUCCGACUGACGCUGAAGCACGAAAGCGUGGGGAUCGAACAGGAUUAGAUACCCCAGUAGUC
This 460-nucleotide ribosomal RNA is filed under the name uncultured bacterium. RNAcentral describes it as "partial 16S ribosomal RNA". It matches the Rfam family "Bacterial small subunit ribosomal RNA", at positions 338 to 795 of the family's 1533-position model. The record is from RNAcentral.